Molecule: non-coding RNA, 2351 nt
Organism: Equus caballus (horse)
Lineage: Eukaryota; Metazoa; Chordata; Mammalia; Perissodactyla; Equidae
Source: RefSeq, a predicted model, not a curated record
UCCCCGCGCCCGGCGCCGCAGGCCAGCGUUGCCCGCCAGGUGUGGGGCGAGUGUCCCCGCUGCGCUCACUGCGCCCCUGAAUCUCUCCUUCCGGCCCUGCUCCGCUGCCUCCUCCUCCAGGAAGCCUUCCUGGAAGCCGACCAGGCCUGCGGGGAAUCUGACGUUUGCGAGGCCUCCGGCGGGGCAGAGACAGCCCGCCCUCUGGAUUCUGUGAAGAGCGAGCCGGAGAGCAGCCCGGGAGCGCGCGGAGCGCUCCGCCGCCUUCGCGCAAUUUCCAUCGUAAUUAAGAACUGCGUCUCCUUUGCGUCGGCAGCUCAGGACUCCAGUCUUGAGGACGUGGACCCUAACCACACAGUCAGUAAGUGCAUCUACGGAAUUUUCCUUUCCAUAAAAAUUUCACAAACAGACACGAUAAUGACUGCUAAACACGAGUCAUGCACAGUUUACUGAUAACAGAAGCAAUUUACAAUCAGGGGACAUGGCACACACGUCAGCCUCCUUCCUGAUGGUUUCUUUAAACGUUAUAUGAAAACCAGACAUUUACUCUUCAUUUCUUCUUCAACACUCUACAGUUUCAAAAGAAAAAAACAAAAACCAAACUAAACCAAAUCUGAGAUGUAACAACGGCCAGAGGAUGGCGCGGCUGCACAGGUCGGGGUGCCUGCACGCGUAUAUACCUGUGUGUGCUUUCAGCGACGUGUUCUGACAUGGGGCUCAGCUUCCCUCGUCUUGAAGAGAACAGUGACGAUGCAAAACGCACGGAGAGAAACCUCUAGAAUUACUUUGUUCACAAGUGAAUUGCACAUUUGGAAAUUCAAGCUGCCUUUUCAUUAUAUUUUCUUUCAUUUUUUUUUCCAAAAGUGGUAAUUUGAAUCAGUGACAGAAAAGAAUAAAACAAAAAAACUGGAAUGGAGGAGAAAAGGAACGCUCCUUGGAAUAUCACAAGAAUGUCUUAGUCACAGUAUCGCUCAUUGCUACAGAGACACAGUUUCAUGGCUUUGAUACCCGGCUGACCUCCACUGACCAGGAGCAGCUGUGUCCUCACGUCCCCAGCCGGGAGGGGAGCGAGGUGCCGGGCUCCCCGUCUGUCCCCGGGCAGCAGUGCAGGGGCGCGCUCUCCCGGCCUGGCGCUGCCCCUCGCCCCUCCCCCAGGACAGCACAGUGAAUACAGCUCAGUAGAUUUCAGUCACAUGGGUGAGGAGAAGGGGACGGGGGCAGGGGGGUCCACAAUCCAGUGCUUCGAGGCUUCGAGGCUAACACGGGUGAUAUGUAUUCGGGCGAGUGCUUUGCGAAUGCUCACUGAGGAAGCAGCUAGGACAGAGCAGGCCAAGGGUCCUCAGAGUUUCCAGGGCCAAGCUCUGGGGCCACAGAGGGGCUGGGCCAGUCAGGGUCUGGACUGACCAGCUGCACUCUUGGCCUUGUACAAGAGGGCCACGUGGGCUGGGUGGUCUCUCAGGUCGAUCCACACCCCAGGGUCCCAGGCAGGCUGCAGGAACGCGAGUCCCCGUGUUCCCAUUGGGGAGCUCUGAGUCCCACUCAUGAAAGGUCUGGCUGGCCAAAGGAUCAGCAGCCCUGUGUGUCCUACCCGAUCGUCCUGGGAAUGAGAGCACAGUGGGGGAGGGCCACUGGGGACUGGGGGCUGAGGGUGGCAGAGGGAAGGGCCUCCUUCUGAAUUGCCAUUUGGGGCUGAGUGUCAAUGGUCCAAAAAAGGGAGGCAGUUAAGGCUGGACUGAAGGACCCUGGCCCUGGGCAAAGCUGGCCCAGUAGGACCUGGGUUUACAGCCUCGACCCUAGCCACGUGCCCAUGGACACGGUGGUCAGCCAGCCAGCUGCCCUGUUGCAUCCGUGCUCCGAGGCUGGGAUCUCAGAAUUCUCAUGCCCAUCCCAGGCUCCUUGGCCCCCAGGGGGUCUCUGAGCACGUGGUGGCAUCUGCAUCAAGGAUGCUGGACCUGUGUGAGCUGGGAGCUGCCCCCCAGGUGCUGGAGCCCGGGGCAGAGAGGAAGCAGGGAGGGCAGCUUGCUGUGGUCUGGGGCAAUGACAAGCUUUGAGGCCAAGUUUCAUGGAUGCACCAGGCACAGGAAAUAAGUGCUCUCUUUGUCAGGGGGUCCAAGGGCAGAGCCCCCUCCCCCAGACUUGGCAAGUGCUCCGGCCCGCGGGGCUGAACAUUCAGGAGAAAUUGGGCUUGCUCUAGUCAUUUUCUGGGGGACAAAAAUAUAGGACUAAAAUGUGCAACUGAGGCUCAUAGGGGACGAGGGGAAAAGAAGGAAUGAGAAGAGAGAACGCUUGGGAAGACUGGCCGAAAAUGACGGGACGUGGCAGUCAACAGAGAAAUCCAGGAUGGACAGGAAGGG